This 295-nucleotide long non-coding RNA is filed under the name Mytilus galloprovincialis (Mediterranean mussel). Lineage: Eukaryota; Metazoa; Mollusca; Bivalvia; Mytilida; Mytilidae. The record is from RNAcentral.
UCUAACUGUGUAUGUAGAUUCUUAAUUUUUAUACGACCGCAAAAUUUGAAAAAUUUUUCGUCGUAUAUUGCUAUCACGUUGGCGUCGUCGUCUGCGUCGUCGUCGUCGUCGUCGUCGUCGUCGGCGGCGUCGUCGUCGUCGUCGUCCGAAUACUUUUAGUUUUCGCACUCUAACUUUAGUAAAAGUGAAUAGAAAUCUAUGAAAUUUUAACAUAAGGUUUAUGACCACAAAAGGAAGGUUGGGAUUGAUUUUGGGAGUUUUGGUCCCAACAUUUUAGGAAUUAGGGGCCAAAAAG